GACGACAUUAGACGAAUCAUCUGGAAAGAUGAAUCAAAGAAGGUAAUAAUCCUGUAGUCGAAAAUGUUGUCUCUCUUGAGUGGAUCCUGAGUACGACGGAGCACGUGAAAUUCCGUCGGAAUCUGGGAGGACCAUCUCCUAAGGCUAAAUACUCUCUAGUGACCGAUAGUGAACCAGUACCGUGAGGGAAAGGUGAAAAGCACCCCGGAAGGGGAGUGAAAUAGAACCUGAAACCGUGUGCU
This is a ribosomal RNA of 242 nucleotides. It matches the Rfam family "Bacterial large subunit ribosomal RNA", at positions 322 to 564 of the family's 2925-position model.